Molecule: transfer RNA, 65 nt
Filed under: Dacus humeralis
Lineage: Eukaryota; Metazoa; Arthropoda; Insecta; Diptera; Tephritidae
Description: tRNA-Arg
Source: RNAcentral
GAAUAUGAAGCGAUUCAUUGCAAUUAGUUUCGACCUAAUCCUAGGUACUAUAAUACCCUUAUUCU